AGAGCGAACGCUGGCGGCAGGCUUAACACAUGCAAGUCGAGCGGGCGUAGCAAUACGUCAGCGGCAGACGGGUGAGUAACGCGUGGGAACAUACCUUUUGGUUCGGAACAACACAGGGAAACUUGUGCUAAUACCGGAUAAGCCCUUACGGGGAAAGAUUUAUCGCCGAAAGAUUGGCCCGCGUCUGAUUAGCUAGUUGGUGAGGUAACGGCUCACCAAGGCGACGAUCAGUAGCUGGUCUGAGAGGAUGAUCAGCCACAUUGGGACUGAGACACGGCCCAAACUCCUACGGGAGGCAGCAGUGGGGAAUAUUGGACAAUGGGCGCAAGCCUGAUCCAGCCAUGCCGCGUGAGUGAUGAAGGCCCUAGGGUUGUAAAGCCCUUUCGGCGGGGAAGAUAAUGACGGUACCCGCAGAAGAAGCCCCGGCUAACUUCGCGCCAGCAGCCGC
Molecule: ribosomal RNA, 448 nt
Filed under: uncultured bacterium
Lineage: Bacteria
Description: SSU rRNA
Rfam family: Bacterial small subunit ribosomal RNA
Source: RNAcentral